RNAcentral lists this long non-coding RNA (1319 nucleotides) under Macaca mulatta (Rhesus monkey). RNAcentral's name for it is "lncRNA (ENSMMUG00000042860.2)". Lineage: Eukaryota; Metazoa; Chordata; Mammalia; Primates; Cercopithecidae. The record is from RNAcentral.
UUUCUUCUAGUUUCAAUGAAACCACUCUCUCCAUGCUCCUUCUUCCUCAUAGGCAGCUGUUACUCCUUUCUUCCUAAUCUUUGAGUAUUGGUGCAUCGCAAGUAUCAACCCUCAGCUCUGUUAUUUUCUCUCUCCAUCCUCAUUCACACAGGUGAGCUCAUUCAGCGCCAUGGGUCUAAAUACUACCUAUGCAAUUAGAACUCCCAAUGUCCACUUCCAUGGAAGUGGAAGUGUGGAAAUGAGAGGAAACCCUGGCGUUUCCUCUGAUCUCCAUGCUCCUGGGUUCAUCUUUCUGCCAGGCACCUCCACGAAACUGUCUCAUGAGUACUGAAACUAUUUCCAAAAAUGAGUCCUUGGACACCUUAACACCCAAAGCUUUCCCUCCCUCCCAAAGUGGCUCAGGUCACAAACCUUGGACACACCUGUGAGUCUCCUCUUUUUCUCACACCUCACAUCUAGACAGCCAAUCCCAUUCAGUUAGUGUUUAGGAUUUAUUGUACCAAAAUUUGACCCUUUCACUCUAUUUUCAGAGAUGCUGCCCUGGUCUCAUCUCUUAUAUCUCCCUGAAAUAAAUAUAAGAGCGUUCUGAAAAUCUUUGUGCUGCUACCAUUGUAGCCCUCCGACCACCCACAGUCUAAUUAAACCACAGAGAUUGUAUUGGACCCUAUUACUGUGUUUAAAAAUUGCUUCCCAAAUUAACAACUUUAGAAAACAAAUAUGUAUGAUUUCCUGCAGUUCUGCAAUGUGGAGAUUCACGAGAGGUUAAUCCAGAUGGUUCUGCCCAGGACCUCUCAUGAGGCUGCAGUUCGCUCUCAGCAGCAACGCCGUGCAGUGGCCUCUGCCAGGCCUGGACUCAGAGAAGCAGGAAGGCAUUUCCGACCUUUCCACUUCAGGCACUUCUUCCUCUGAAAUCCCAGCACCCUCCGCCUCAGGCGCAGUGAACUGUAAAGAGACAGCCCUGGGAUUGGAGCCAUUCUCUCCAGGAUUAGAAUACCCCUUGCUCCUGCAGAGACCAAGGACUUGGUGACUGUGUGCAUUGUAAAUGCCCAUUCAUGGGUCCUUCCUGCACAAACAGGUUCUCCCUGUUACUCCAGCUGCUCUGACCACAAUCUCCAUGGCUGUUCUCACUGUUCCCGAUUUCCCAAAGCAAGGAAGUGAAACUGACAGAAGGAAAAGCCUUUAUUCUUGGUUGGAUGUGAUGGGACAAUGAUUGUAAAAAUUGUUUGAAAAGACAAAUUUCAACAUAACUAUCAGCUCUUGUGAUGCCUCAAAUAGUAUUUUGAAGCCUUAAUAAUUGCUUUUUAUUUGGAGAGAGGGUG